CCUAAGGCGAGGCAGAAAUGCGUAGCCGAUGGGAAACAGGUCAAUAUUCCUGUACCGAUUCUAGAUGCGAUGUGGGGACGGAGAAGGUUAGGUCAGCCGGGUGUUGGACGUCCCGGUUUAAGCGUGUAGGCGUGCCCCUUAGGCAAAUCCGGGGGGCUAAGCUGAGGCGUGAUGACGAGGAACCACGGUUCCGAAGUGAUUGAUACCAAGCUUCCAGGAAAAGCCACUAAGCUUCAGUCUAGAGUUGACCAUACCGCAAACCGACACAGGUGGGCAGGAUGAAAAUUCUAAGGCGCUUGAGAGAACUCAGGAGAAGGAACUCGGCAAAUUAACACCGUAACUUCGGGAGAAGGUGUGCCCCGGUAGCGUGUAGAGACUUGCUCUCGAAGCGCGAUGGGGUUGCAGUGAAAUGGUGGCUGCGACUGUUUAAUAAAAACACAGCACUCUGCAAACACGAAAGUGGACGUAUAGGGUGUGACGCCUGCCCGGUGCCGGAAGGUUAAGUGAUGGGGUGCAAGCUCUUGAUCGAAGCCCCGGUAAACGGCGGCCGUAACGAUAACGGUCCUAAGGUAGCGAAAUUCCUUGUCGGGUAAGUUCCGACCUGCACGAAUGGCGUAACGAUGGCCACACUGUCUCCUCCUGGGACUCAGCGAAGUUGAAAUGUUUGUGAAGAUGCAAUCUACCCGCGGCUAGACGGAAAGACCCCAUGAACCUUUACUGUAGCUUUGCAUUGGACUUUGAACCGGUUUGUGUAGGAUAGGUGGGAGACUGUGAAGCCGGGACGCUAGUUUCGGUGGUGUCAACCUUGAAAUACACCCUGAUUUGUUUGAGGUUCUAACCUUGGUCCGUGAAUCCGGAUCGGGGACCGUGCAUGGUAGGCAGUUUGACUGGGGCGGUCUCCUCCCAAAAGGUAACGGAGGAGUACGAAGGUACGCUUAGGGCGGUCGGACAUCGCCCACAAAGUGCAAUGGCAAAAGCGUGCUUGACUGCGAGACCCACAAGUCGAGCAGGUACGAAAGUAGGUCAUAGUGAUCCGGUGGUUCUGUAUGGAAGGGCCAUCGCUCAACGGAUAAAAGGUACUCUGGGGAUAACAGGCUAAUUCCUCCCAAGAGUUCAUAUCGACGGGGGAGUUUGGCACCUCGAUGUCGGCUCAUCACAUCCUGGGGCUGUAGUCGGUCCCAAGGGUAUGGCUGUUCGCCAUUUAAAGUGGUACGCGUGCUGGGUUUAAAACGUCGUGAGACAGUUUGGUCCCUAUCUGCCGUGGGCGCUGGAAAUUUGAAGGGGGCUGCUCCUAGUACGAGAGGACCGGAGUGGACGAACCUCUGGUGUACCGGUUAUGACGCCAGUCGUAUCGCCGGGUAGCUAAGUUCGGAAGAGAUAAACGCUGAAAGCAUCUAAGCGUGAAACUCGCCUUAAGAUAAGAUUUCCCGGAGUCUUGAACUCCCUGAAGGGUCGUCGAAGACCACGACGUUGAUAGGUCAGGUGUGGAAGCGCAGCAAUGCGAUAAGCUAACUGAUACUAAUUGCCCGUGUGGCUUGAUCCC
This 1543-nucleotide ribosomal RNA is filed under the name metagenome. RNAcentral describes it as "bacterial LSU rRNA". It matches the Rfam family "Bacterial large subunit ribosomal RNA", at positions 1390 to 2925 of the family's 2925-position model. The record is from RNAcentral.